UUGAACGCUGGCGGCAUGCUUUACACAUGCAAGUCGAACGGCAGCGCGGGCUUCGGCCUGGCGGCGAGUGGCGAACGGGUGAGUAAUGCAUCGGAACGUGCCCAGUAGUGGGGGAUAGCCCGGCGAAAGCCGGAUUAAUACCGCAUACGACCUGAGGGUGAAAGCGGGGGACCGAAAGGCCUCGCGCUAUUGGAGCGGCCGAUGUCGGAUUAGCUAGUUGGUGGGGUAAAGGCUUACCAAGGCGACGAUCCGUAGCUGGUCUGAGAGGACGACCAGCCACACUGGGACUGAGGCACGGCCCAGACUCCUACGGGAGGCAGCAGUGGGGAAUUUUGGACAAUGGGGGCAACCCUGAUCCAGCCAUGCCGCGUGCGGGAAGAAGGCCUUCGGGUUGUAAACCGCUUUUGUUCGGGAAGAAAUCCUCUGGGCUAAUACCCCGGGGGGAUGACGGUACCGGAAGAAUAAGCACCGGCUAACUACGUG
Molecule: ribosomal RNA, 483 nt
Filed under: uncultured bacterium
Lineage: Bacteria
Description: partial 16S ribosomal RNA
Rfam family: Bacterial small subunit ribosomal RNA
Source: RNAcentral